Molecule: unclassified non-coding RNA, 363 nt
Filed under: Hevea brasiliensis (rubber tree)
Lineage: Eukaryota; Viridiplantae; Streptophyta; Magnoliopsida; Malpighiales; Euphorbiaceae
Source: RNAcentral
CCUGGGAGAAAUUGGUAUUGGCUCGCCCCCACAGAAGUUCACUGUCAUAUUUGAUACUGGCAGUUCCAAUCUUUGGAUUCCAUCAUCAAAAUGCCACUUGUCUCUUGCCUGCUAUUUCCAUUCUAGGUACAAGUCAAGUAGAUCCAGUACAUAUGCCAGGAAUGGAACAACUUGUGAAAUACAGUAUGGAUCUGGAUCAAUUGUUGGUUUCUUGAGUCAAGAUAAUGUUGAAGUUGGAAAUCUCAUUGUCAAGGAUCAAGUUUUCAUUGAGGCUACACGAGAAGGAAGUCUCACAUUUGUCUUGGCAAAGUUUGAUGGAAUUCUUGGGCUUGGGUUUCAGGAAAUCUCAGUUGGGAAUGCUGU